This 764-nucleotide ribosomal RNA is filed under the name uncultured bacterium. Its description in RNAcentral is "bacterial SSU rRNA". It matches the Rfam family "Bacterial small subunit ribosomal RNA", at positions 31 to 803 of the family's 1533-position model. The record is from RNAcentral.
GAACGUUGGCGGCGUGGAUUAGGCAUGCAAGUCGUGCGGCAGCAGGCCCUUCGGGGUGCUGGCGAGCGGCGAAAGGGAGAGUAACGCGUGGGUAACCUACCUCUGGACCCGGGAUAGCAGCGGGAAACUGCUGGUAAUACCGGAUAAUGUCUCCGGACCAAAGGUGUGAUUCCGUCUAGAGAUGGGCCCGCGUCCUAUUAGCUUGUUGGUGGGGUAAUGGCCUACCAAGGCUUUGAUGGGUACCGGGUGUGAGAGCAUGGCCCGGCUCACUGGGACUGAGACACUGCCCAGACACCUACGGGUGGCUGCAGUCGAGAAUCUUCGGCAAUGGGCGCAAGCCUGACCGAGCGACGCCGCGUGCGGGAUGAAGGCCUUCGGGUUGUAAACCGCUGUCAGAGGGAAAGAAAUGCCAAAGGGUUCUCUCUUUGGUUUGACUGAUCCUCAGAGGAAGCACGGGCUAAGUUCGUGCCAGCAGCCGCGGUAACACGAACCGUGCAAACGUUAUUCGGAAUCACUGGGCUUAAAGAGUGCGUAGGCGGCUUAGCAGGUGGGGUGUGAAAUCCCUCAGCUCAACUGAGGAACUGCGCUCCAAACCGCUAGGCUUGAGGGAGAUAGAGGUGAGCGGAACUGAUGGUGGAGCGGUGAAAUGCGUUGAUAUCAUCAGGAACACCAGAGGCGAAGGCGGCUCACUGGGUCUUUUCUGACGCUGAGGCACGAAAGCUAGGGUAGCGAACGGGAUUAGAUACCCCGGUAGUCCUAGCUGU